RNAcentral lists this ribosomal RNA (500 nucleotides) under uncultured bacterium. RNAcentral describes it as "partial 16S ribosomal RNA". It matches the Rfam family "Bacterial small subunit ribosomal RNA", at positions 30 to 523 of the family's 1533-position model. The record is from RNAcentral.
AUUGAACGCUGGCGGCAUGCCUUACACAUGCAAGUCGAACGGCAGCACGGGAGCAAUCCUGGUGGCGAGCGGCGAACGGGUGAGUAAAGUAUCGGAACGUGCCCAGUCGUGGGGGAUAACGUAGCGAAAGUUACGCUAAUACCGCAUACGAUCUAUGGAUGAAAGCGGGGGAUCGCAAGACCUCGCGCGAUUGGAGCGGCCGAUAUCAGAUUAGGUAGUUGGUGGGGUAAAGGCUCACCAAGCCGACGAUCUGUAGCUGGUCUGAGAGGACGACCAGCCACACUGGGACUGGGACACGGCCCAGACUCCUACGGGAGGCAGCAGUGGGGAAUUUUGGACAAUGGGCGAAAGCCUGAUCCAGCCAUGCCGCGUGCAGGAUGAAGGCCUUCGGGUUGUAAACUGCUUUUGUACGGAACGAAAAGGUUUGGGCUAAUAAGCUGAGCUCAUGACGGUACCGUAAGAAUAAGCACCGGCUAACUACGUGCCAGCAGCCGCAGUAA